RNAcentral lists this ribosomal RNA (505 nucleotides) under uncultured bacterium. RNAcentral's name for it is "partial 16S ribosomal RNA". It matches the Rfam family "Bacterial small subunit ribosomal RNA", at positions 28 to 507 of the family's 1533-position model. The record is from RNAcentral.
GACGAACGCUGGCGGCGUGCCUAAUACAUGCAAGUAGAACGCACAGUUUAUACCGUAGCUUGCUACACCAUAGACUGUGAGUUGCGAACGGGUGAGUAACGCGUAGGUAACCUGCCUGGUAGCGGGGGAUAACUAUUGGAAACGAUAGCUAAUACCGCAUAAUAUUAAUUAUUGCAUGAUAAUUAAUUGAAAGGUGCAAUUGCACCACUACCAGAUGGACCUGCGUUGUAUUAGCUAGUAGGUGAGGUAACGGCUCACCUAGGCGACGAUACAUAGCCGACCUGAGAGGGUGAUCGGCCACACUGGGACUGAGACACGGCCCAGACUCCUACGGGAGGCAGCAGUAGGGAAUCUUCGGCAAUAGACGAAAGUCUGACCGAGCAACGCCGCGUGAGUGAAGAAGGUUUUCGGAUCGUAAAGCUCUGUUGUAAGAGAAGAACGGGUGUGAGAGUGGAAAGUUCACACUGUGACGGUAUCUUACCAGAAAGGGACGGCUAACUACGUA